GAUGAACGCUGGCGGCGUGCCUAAUACAUGCAAGUCGAGCGAACGGACGAGAAGCUUGCUUCUCUGAUGCUGGCGGCGGACGGGUGAGUAACACGUGGAUAACCUACCUAUAAGACUGGGAUAACUUCGGGAAACCGAAGCUAAUACCGGAUAAUAUUUUGAACCGCAUGGUUCAAAAGUGAAAGACGGUCUUGCUGUCACUUAUAGAUGGAUCCGCGCUGCAUUAGCUAGUUGGUAAGGUAACGGCUUACCAAGGCAACGAUGCAUAGCCGACCUGAGAGGGUGAUCGGCCACACUGGAACUGAGACACGGUCCAGACUCCUACGGGAGGCAGCAGUAGGGAAUCUUCCGCAAUGGGCGAAAGCCUGACGGAGCAACGCCGCGUGAGUGAUGAAGGUCUUCGGAUCGUAAAACUCUGUUAUUAGGGAAGAACAUAUGUGUAAGUAACUGUGCACAUCUUGACGGUACCUAAUCAGAAAGCCACGGCUAACUACGUG
RNAcentral lists this ribosomal RNA (497 nucleotides) under uncultured bacterium. Its description in RNAcentral is "partial 16S ribosomal RNA". It matches the Rfam family "Bacterial small subunit ribosomal RNA", at positions 28 to 507 of the family's 1533-position model. The record is from RNAcentral.